RNAcentral lists this ribosomal RNA (220 nucleotides) under uncultured bacterium. RNAcentral describes it as "partial 16S ribosomal RNA". It matches the Rfam family "Bacterial small subunit ribosomal RNA", at positions 524 to 742 of the family's 1533-position model. The record is from RNAcentral.
CACGUAGGGUGCGAGCGUUGUCCGGAAUUAUUGGGCGUAAAGAGCUCGUAGGCGGUGUGUCGCGUCGGCCGUGAAAACCUGCAGCUUAACUGUGGGCUUGCGGUCGAUACGGGCAUCACUGGAGUUCGGCAGGGGAGACUGGAAUUCCUGGUGUAGCGGUGAAAUGCGCAGAUAUCAGGAGGAACACCGGUGGCGAAGGCGGGUCUCUGGGCCGAUACUG